This 565-nucleotide non-coding RNA is filed under the name Pan troglodytes (chimpanzee). The record is from RNAcentral. Lineage: Eukaryota; Metazoa; Chordata; Mammalia; Primates; Hominidae.
ACUUCCUGGACUCUGCUGGGAUGGGUUCAAAGUAGAGAAAGUGGAAGAGGAAAGAGUUACCCCAGCGAGAACCGGGAACCGGGCCGCAGACUCUCCGGCCCCGGGGAGGGAUGAGUUUCACUCUGGUUGCCCAGGCUGGAGUGCAAUGGCGCGAUCUCGGCUCACGGCAACCUCUGCCUCCCGGAUUCAAGCGAUUCUCCUGCUUCAGCCUCCCGAGUAGCUGGGAUUACAGGACCUGGGAAAGCUUCCUCCAGCCCUGAUGCUGGCCUGCAGUCUGGCACUUGACAGCUACUGGUAUUGUGGAUAGAAGCAAAGGCUCUGGACUCAGCAACACUUGGUCUGAAUCCCAGUUCUACCACUUACUAGCUGUAGUGCCGCUGACAACUUAAACUCCAUGAACCUCAGUUUUCUUCAUCUGUAAGGUGGGAUAACAGUACUUCUCUAAUAGGGAUAUUGUGAGGAUCAAAUAUGAUCUAAAGCAGUUAGCACAAUAUCUUGCACAUAGUAAGUGCUUAAUAAGUGGCAGUUAUUAUUUCAUACAUUAUAAGGUGAUACCCCUGAACUU